Molecule: ribosomal RNA, 497 nt
Filed under: uncultured bacterium
Lineage: Bacteria
Description: partial 16S ribosomal RNA
Rfam family: Bacterial small subunit ribosomal RNA
Source: RNAcentral
GACGAACGCUGGCGGCGUGCCUAAUACAUGCAAGUUGAGCGAUGAAGAUUGGUGCUUGCACCAAUUUGAAGAGCAGCGAACGGGUGAGUAACGCGUGGGGAAUCUGCCUUUGAGCGGGGGACAACAUUUGGAAACGAAUGCUAAUACCGCAUAACAACUUUAAACAUAAGUUUUAAGUUUGAAAGAUGCAAUUGCAUCACUCAAAGAUGAUCCCGCGUUGUAUUAGCUAGUUGGUGAGGUAAAGGCUCACCAAGGCGAUGAUACAUAGCCGACCUGAGAGGGUGAUCGGCCAAAUUGGGACUUGGACACGGCCCAAAACCCUACGGGAGGCAGCAGUAGGGAAUCUUCGGCAAUAGACGAAAGGCUGACCGAGCAACGCCGCGUGAGUGAAGAAGGUUUUCGGAUCGUAAAACUCUGUUGGUAGAGAAGAAAGUUGGUGAGAGUGGAAAGCUCAUCAAGUGACGGUAACUACCCAGAAAGGGACGGCUAACUACGUG